GUCUCUUCGGGGAUGAUUAAACCGGCGCACGGGUGAGUAACACGUGAGUGACCUGCCUUUUAGACUGGAACAACUUACCGAAAGGUGAGCUAAUGCCGGAUGAGUUAUAUAAGUGCAUGUUUAUAUAGGAAAAGUUGGGGAGACCUGACGCUGAAAGAUGGACUCGCGUCCCAUUAGCUAGUUGGUAGGGUAAUGGCCUACCAAGGCGACGAUGGGUAGCCGGCCUGAGAGGGUGGCCGGCCACACUGGGACUGAGACACGGCCCAGACUCCUACGGGAGGCAGCAGUGGGGAAUUUUGCGCAAUGCUCGUAAGAGUGACGCAGCGACGCCGCGUGAAUGACGAAGGCCUUCGGGUCGUAAAGUUCUUUCGACAGGGAAGAAAAUGCCUAUAAGUAACUGUGUAUGUAUUGACGGUACCUGUAUAAGCAGCCCCGGCUAACUCCGUGCCAGCAGCCGCGGUAAUACGGAGGGGGCGAGCGUUGUUCGGAGUGACUGGGCGUAAAGAGCACGUAGGCGGUGUUGUAAGUCAUUAGUCAAAGACUAGAGCUCAACUUUAGUAAGGCUAGUGAUACUAUAAUACUAGAGUAUCAGAGAGGAUUGCAGAAUUCCUGGUGUAGCGGUGAAAUGCGUAGAUAUCAGGAGGAAUACCGUUAGCGGAGGCGGCAAUCUGGCUGGAAACUGACGCUG
RNAcentral lists this ribosomal RNA (688 nucleotides) under uncultured bacterium. RNAcentral describes it as "bacterial SSU rRNA". It matches the Rfam family "Bacterial small subunit ribosomal RNA", at positions 74 to 748 of the family's 1533-position model. The record is from RNAcentral.